GACGAACGCUGGCGGCGUGCCUAAUACAUGCAAGUAGAACGCUGAAGGAGGAGCUUGCUUCUCUGGAUGAGUUGCGAACGGGUGAGUAACGCGUAGGUAACCUGCCUGGUAGCGGGGGAUAACUAUUGGAAACGAUAGCUAAUACCGCAUAAUAGUAGAUGUCGCAUGACAUUUGCUUAAAAGGUGCAAUUGCAUCACUACCAGAUGGACCUGCGUUGUAUUAGCUAGUUGGUGAGGUAACGGCUCACCAAGGCAACGAUACAUAGCCGACCUGAGAGGGUGAUCGGCCACACUGGGACUGAGACACGGCCCAGACUCCUACGGGAGGCAGCAGUAGGGAAUCUUCGGCAAUGGACGGAAGUCUGACCGAGCAACGCCGCGUGAGUGAAGAAGGUUUUCGGAUCGUAAAGCUCGGUUGUAAGAGAAGAACGAGUGUGAGAGUGGAAAGUUCACACUGUGACGGUAUCUGACCAGAAAGGGACGGCUAACUACGUG
This 495-nucleotide ribosomal RNA is filed under the name uncultured bacterium. RNAcentral's name for it is "partial 16S ribosomal RNA". It matches the Rfam family "Bacterial small subunit ribosomal RNA", at positions 28 to 507 of the family's 1533-position model. The record is from RNAcentral.